AAUAGAAUUUCUGGGUCAUAUGGUAAUUCCCUGUUUCACGUUAAUGUAACAGCCAAACUGUUUUCCACAGAAGCUGCACCAUUUUACAUUUCCUUUAGCAAU
RNAcentral lists this microRNA precursor (102 nucleotides) under Marmota monax (woodchuck). Lineage: Eukaryota; Metazoa; Chordata; Mammalia; Rodentia; Sciuridae. The record is from RNAcentral.